RNAcentral lists this long non-coding RNA (397 nucleotides) under Vigna radiata. Its description in RNAcentral is "long non-coding RNA (VRAD_LNC009236)". The record is from RNAcentral. Lineage: Eukaryota; Viridiplantae; Streptophyta; Magnoliopsida; Fabales; Fabaceae.
UGAAGAAGAAAAAAAAUAGGAGAAGAAGGAAAAGAAAGAAGAGCAGGCAACAAUAAUAGCAAAAGCGUAGGUAGGUUGACCGUGAUAAUAGGUAAUAAUAACUACAACGACAAACGACAAGAAAGGGAAGAAGAAUAAGAGAAAAAAGAAGAAGAAGAAGAAGAGAAGCCAAAGUCAAUGGACACAACAAUAAUGAUGAACAAGACAACAACGAAGGAGAACGAAGAAGAAAUAGAAUAAUGAAAAAACAAAUGAGAGAAAGAUUCAACAUUAUUAUCACACAAAUAAUACAUAGAGCAUAAAAUCACUCUCUUUUUUUGACCUCAAAAUCAAUAGUAAACAAUCGCACAACAACUUCCAAAAAACUAAAGUUUUAGUUGAUAACACUUCAUCCAAC